AGAGCUAGCGGCCUCCGGGUAGUGUGUUGUGUUUGCUUGGGUAGCCUUUUCCAUCCACGCCUGCGCAGUGGCCGCUUCCCUGCCCGGGGGCCGACCUCCAGCCCCACCCCUUUCCCCGUGUUCUCCGCCCCGCCCCUGGCCAACCUGUCAGCCAAUCAGAGCUCGUGGCAGUUUCGGAGGCCGAAGAGCUGCGGGAAUUGGCUGCGGCCGGAGGACGAGCUGGAAUUCUAUUUGGUGUUGGAGCUGCCCAAGGAGCCCCGUUGGAACCGGUCUGAGGCGGCGUGGGGGCUGCGAGUGCGAUUUUGAGCACCUGGCGGGAAAGCAUGGACGGCAGCAGCUCCUUGCGCGGGGUGAGAAAAUUAUGGCUCCGAAAGGCACGACCUGUCUGAGUGUACACAGCUGGUUGGCGAAUUGGCUGGGACUUGGUUUUUGUCGUCAAAGUCAGUGCUCUUUAAGCUUUUCUGGAACGCAUCUCCUGCAUCCCAAGAAACACUGCAAGAGUCCACAGCUCCCAGCCACUUAUGGCAGCUGAGGGGUCCAUCUGGGAAAUGACUCCGGAACUCCUUCAGACACACUCACCGUGGCAGGGUGACCUGGCAGUCCCUGAUUCCCUGCCAGCUCAUUUGCGGCCAGUAUUUUUCACAGAUGCUCCCUGCUAGACUCUAAAUACGUUGAGAGCAGUGACUAACUGCUCGCUCACCACUGUCUCCCCACCCCUAAGCAUGGAGUUUUUGCAAAGUAAGUAUUCAACAAACA
Camelus dromedarius (Arabian camel) is the source of this 756-nucleotide long non-coding RNA. RefSeq lists it as uncharacterized. NCBI's taxonomy places the organism in Eukaryota, Metazoa, Chordata, Mammalia, Artiodactyla, Camelidae. The record is from RefSeq and is a predicted model, not a curated record. The transcript is spliced from 4 exons.